AGAGAGAGACAUGCGCGCAUAUCAAUAAGCGGAGGAAAAGAAACUAACUAGGAUUCCCUCAGUAACGGCGAGUGAAGCGGGAAGAGCUCAAAUUUGAAAUCUUCAAGGUUUUACCUUGACGAAUUGUAGUUUAAAGAAGUGUUUUCUGUUGGAGUUUUGGUAAAAGUUCUUUGGAAUAGGACAUCAUAGAGGGUGAGAAUCCCGUAUUUGACCAUUAUUUCCAGCUUUGUGAUACACUUUCAAAGAGUCGGAUUGUUUGGGAAUGCAGUCCAAAAUGGGUGGUAAAUUUCAUCUAAAGCUAAAUAUUGGCGAGAGACCGAUAGCGAACAAGUACCGUGAGGGAAAGAUGAAAAGAACUUUGAAAAGAGAGUUAAACAGUACGUGAAAUUGUCAAAAGGGAAGCGUUUGACACCAGUGUUGUUUUCUCGAAAAUCAAUUAAAAAAGGCAGGAUUUUGUGUUGUAUUGACUUUAUCAGCUUUCUGCACUCUUUUCUUGUCUUUUUUUAAUGCACUUUUCGUUUAACAAGUCAACAUCAAUUUCUUUUGUUGUAAAAAGGGUCAUUGGAAGGUGGCUUUCUUUUCGGAGAAAGUGUUUAUAGCCUUUGGCCUCUGCAAUCGGAGAGAUUGAGGUCUGCAGCGUAGAUCCUUCGGGGUUAGAUACAUUUGUGCUAAGUUAUAGCCUUUCAUAGACAACUUGUUGACUAUGAUCAGUCAUGUAGCUUACUCGCUUAUGCUAUUUUACCUACGCUUAGGAUGUUGAUGUGAUACUGCGAGCA
RNAcentral lists this ribosomal RNA (776 nucleotides) under uncultured Neocallimastigales. RNAcentral describes it as "partial large subunit ribosomal RNA". It matches the Rfam family "Eukaryotic large subunit ribosomal RNA", at positions 23 to 640 of the family's 3401-position model. The record is from RNAcentral. Lineage: Eukaryota; Fungi; Neocallimastigomycota; Neocallimastigomycetes; Neocallimastigales.